Molecule: ribosomal RNA, 1153 nt
Filed under: uncultured bacterium
Lineage: Bacteria
Description: bacterial SSU rRNA
Rfam family: Bacterial small subunit ribosomal RNA
Source: RNAcentral
UUUUAGAUGGGCUCACGGCCUAUCAGCUCGUUGGUGAGGUAAUGGCUUACCAAGGCGACGACGGGUAGCCGGCCUGAGAGGGUGACCGGCCACACUGGGACUGAGACACGGCCCAGACUCCUACGGGAGGCAGCAGUGGGGAAUAUUGCACAAUGGGCGCAAGCCUGAUGCAGCGACGCCGCGUGAGGGAUGACGGCCUUCGGGUUGUAAACCUCUGUUAGCAUCGAAGAAGCGAAAGUGACGGUAGGUGCAGAGAAAGCGCCGGCUAACUACGUGCCAGCAGCCGCGGUAAUACGUAGGGCGCGAGCGUUGUCCGGAAUUAUUGGGCGUAAAGAGCUUGUAGGCGGUUGGUCGCGUCUGCUGUGAAAGGCCGGGGCUUAACUCCGGUUUUGCAGUGGGUACGGGCUAACUAGAGUGCAGUAGGGGAGACUGGAAUUCCUGGUGUAGCGGUGGAAUGCACAGAUAUCAGGAGGAACACCGAUGGCGAAGGCAGGUCUCUGGGCUGUAACUGACGCUGAGAAGCGAAAGCAUGGGGAGCGAACAGGAUUAGAUACCCUGGUAGUCCAUGCCGUAAACGUUGGGCACUAGGUGUGGGGGACAUUCCACGUUUUCCGCGCCGUAGCUAACGCAUUAAGUGCCCCGCCUGGGGAGUACGGCCGCAAGGCUAAAACUCAAAGGAAUUGACGGGGGCCCGCACAAGCGGCGGAGCAUGCGGAUUAAUUCGAUGCAACGCGAAGAACCUUACCAAGGCUUGACAUGCAUUAGAUCGCGUCAGAGAUGGCGUUUCCCUUCGGGGCUGGUGUACAGGUGGUGCAUGGUUGUCGUCAGCUCGUGUCGUGAGAUGUUGGGUUAAGUCCCGCAACGAGCGCAACCCUCGUUCUAUGUUGCCAGCGGUUCGGCCGGGGACUCAUAGGAGACUGCCGGGGUCGAACUCGGAGGAAGGUGGGGAUGACGUCAAAUCAUCAUGCCCCUUAUGUCUUGGGCUUCACGCAUGCUACGAUGGCCGGUACAGAGGGUUGCGAUACUGUGAGGUGGAGCUAAUCCCUUAAAGCCGGUCUCGGUUCGGAUUGGGGUCUGCAACUCGACCCCCAUGAAAGUUCGGAGUCGCUUAGUGAAUCGCGGAUUCGGCGAACGCUGCGGUAAAGACGUUUCC